Molecule: RNA transcript, 1380 nt
Organism: Chelonus insularis
Lineage: Eukaryota; Metazoa; Arthropoda; Insecta; Hymenoptera; Braconidae
Gene: Rbp1
Gene name: RNA-binding protein 1
Exons: 6
Source: RefSeq, a predicted model, not a curated record
ACGCAAACGACAGCGUCUCCAUUUUGUUGUAGUGUUCUGAAAAUUAUUGUUCUAUUAAUUGGCUCUAAAUUUAUAUAUACUUAAAAUUAUCAAGAGUAAAUUCAACAAAAUAUAUAUUUUCAAUGACUGUUUCGAUAGAUAUAUUCAAAAUGUCUCGAUACCGGGAAUGGGAUCUUACCUGCAAAGUUUAUGUCGGUAACCUGGGUAGCAGUGCUAGCAAACAUGAGAUUGAAAAUGCAUUCAGUCAAUAUGGGCCUUUAAGAAAUGUUUGGGUAGCUCGAAAUCCACCUGGGUUCGCUUUUGUUGAAUUUGAAGAUCCGCGUGAUGCUGAAGAUGCUGUUCGUGGACUUCAUGGAAAACGAUGCUGUGGUUCAAGAAUAAGAGUAGAAAUGUCUUCUGGAAGAAGUCGUCGAGCAGGUGGUGGUCGUCGACCUGGUCCCAGAUAUUCAAGAUUCUACAAGAGUCAACUCCUAGCUCUGCUCGUCUCCCCGUCACUACUACCACUACUUCUACUACUACUACUACUUCUACUAUUACUACUACUACAGCCACCGUGAACAAUAAAAAUUUUGCAAUCAAAACUGAAAAUAUGUAGCCUGCCUGUCCACUACUAAUUUCCCGCAACUAGUCACCGCGAGGAGCAAAGAUUGCCCGUCAUUGACAGUCCGUUGCUGUCCGUCGGUCCGUCAUUAUACCCUUUAAAAAAGAAUUCUUCGGGGUCCACCUCUACUCUUCUACUAAGAGACUAGGAACAUCGUAAUCAUCAAACAGCCAACGCGAUAUGAAUUCUUCUAUCAAAAUAUCAUCGCGUCCGUCCCAACUACUUCUACCACUGCUACUUCGUCAACUACGACGUUUUACUUUGAUGAACAAUGUGACCGUCACUUCUCUUCGAUCGAGCAAUGCAAAAUAAUCACAUACAUACCAUCCUACCACCCAACCAACUACCACCAACCAUCACCACCACCACUACCACCACCACCACCACAUGUUCACAAUCGUCUGGUCAAGGUCACGCAGUCCACGACGAAGAUCUUUAACUCGAAGCCGAAGCCGAGAUCGUCGUUCCCGAUCUGACUCACGUGAAAGACGCUAAGGACUCAGUAUGACCGUUGAGAAAUUAAUUUUACCUACGAAAUAAAACAGUGCUGCAAAGAACACUAAAUAUUAAUAAUAAUAAAAACAAUAAUGAUAAAGCCCUCCUUUAUUUGUAUAUAAAUUGUUGCAUCACACAACACACAGAAUGAAUUAAGUAAUUUGAUCAAGAUCAGCUUGAACACUUAAUACACGCUAUAAACUUUCAUUGUCAAAUGUGUCAUGAAUGAAUUUGUAUAAGCUAAUGCCUGUAAUCAAGAGCAGUACGAAAAUUUCAUUUUUAAA